Molecule: ribosomal RNA, 388 nt
Filed under: uncultured bacterium
Lineage: Bacteria
Description: partial 16S ribosomal RNA
Rfam family: Bacterial small subunit ribosomal RNA
Source: RNAcentral
AUACGUAGGUGGCAAGCGUUAUCCGGAAUUAUUGGGCGUAAAGAGUGAGCAGGCGGUUAAUUAAGGCUGCGGUUAAAGCGUGGGGCUCAACCCCAUAAAGCCUUGGAAACUGAUUGACCAGAGUACGGGAGAAGUGAAGGGAAAUCCAUGUGGAGCGGUGAAAUGCGUAGAUAUAUGGAAGAACACCAGUGGCGAAGGCGCUUCACUAGCCCGAAACUGACGCUCAGUCACGAAAGCGUGGGUAGCAAAUAGGAUUAGAUACCCUAGUAGUCCACGCUGUAAACGAUGACAACUAAAUAUUGCCGCGAGGCAGUGUUGAAGCUAACGCAUUAAGUUGUCCGCCUGGGGAGUACGGUCGCAAGACUGAAACUUAAAGGAAUUGGCGGGG